Molecule: non-coding RNA, 872 nt
Organism: Peromyscus maniculatus bairdii (prairie deer mouse)
Lineage: Eukaryota; Metazoa; Chordata; Mammalia; Rodentia; Cricetidae
Source: RefSeq, a predicted model, not a curated record
AGGCAGCCCCGGCCCCACCCACGCAGUAGUGAAGGGGUUAACUUUCUGUUGUAAACCAAAAUACUGCAGAACCUGGUGCCUGUCUCUGAGAAAUGAGCUGCAAAGCCGGCAGGGAUGGACCAGGCUAGCAGAGUGUCCAGCAGAGUCAGGUGCAAAAGAAAAAGAAUUGGUAGAAGCUGACCCUGGCCCUCAGAGGAGCUUCAGGAGGAGUGGUUGGAUCACAAGUGGGGAGGCCCACAACAGCCUUCAUCCAUGCUGGAAAGCACCUGAGGGCCAGGACCGCCGCUGAGCCAACAGCAGCAGCAGAAGCAGCUGGCUGUUCUCUGGUCUCGGAGAAGACAGGAAGCAGCAAGGUCUGCACUUCCCUGGGCUUCACUGCUGCUGUGCUGCUCCCGGGGUCCGUGAAGACAGGCGCUGGCAAUGGGCUCACUCUCCACGACGCCCAGCCAGGGUUCACUAAGCCCUGGAUCAACUGAGACAGGCGCUGUGCUAGGUGGAGGCUUGGGAGUCUCAGACUCCAUACAUCAUCUGGUCACAGAGCUGUGUCUCCUUGGGCUCCUCCUUUAAAGAGAAGAACGGCUCCAGCCACCAUUUGUGUCACUGUGUGUCCACACAGCUUGAGAAACUCCUCAUACUCCAGAGACUGCAGAAGAAAUUUGUACCCUGAUCUUGGACCUGGGGGCUUGCAGCACAAUUAAAUGUGUCCCAGGGUAGACACGUCAGCCAGAAUCUCUCUCCUCUAUGCAGUGACCACUCUCUCCGGAAAUGGACAGCCAAAAAAGAGGCUGACCGACUUCACACAGCUGAGAAAGGGCGCGGAAGGAAGGCCACAGGGCAAUGACAAAAAGGGGAAUUCAGCCGAGUGUUCUGCU